AUUGAACGCUGGCGGCAUGCCUUACACAUGCAAGUCGAACGGUAGCAGGUCUUCGGAUGCUGACGAGUGGCGAACGGGUGAGUAAUACAUCGGAACGUGCCUAGUAGUGGGGGAUAACUACUCGAAAGAGUGGCUAAUACCGCAUGAGAUCUACGGAUGAAAGCAGGGGAUCGCAAGACCUUGUGCUACUAGAGCGGCCGAUGGCAGAUUAGGUAGUUGGUGGGAUAAAAGCUUACCAAGCCGACGAUCUGUAGCUGGUCUGAGAGGACGAUCAGCCAUACUGAGACAGAGACACGGCGCAGACUCCUACGUGAGGCAGCAGUGGGGAAUUGUGGACAAUGGGCGAAAGCCUUAUCCAGCAAUGCCGCGUGCAGGAUGAAGGCCGCCGGGUUGUAAACUGCCUUUGUACGGAACGAAAAGCCCCGGGUUAAUACCCUGGGGUCAUGACGGUACCGUAAGAAUAAGCACCGGCUAACUACGUGCCAGCAGCCGCCGUAA
This 498-nucleotide ribosomal RNA is filed under the name uncultured bacterium. Its description in RNAcentral is "partial 16S ribosomal RNA". It matches the Rfam family "Bacterial small subunit ribosomal RNA", at positions 30 to 523 of the family's 1533-position model. The record is from RNAcentral.